UUGGAGGGCAAGUCUGGUGCCAGCAGCCGCGGUAAUUCCAGCUCCAAUAGCGUAUAUUAAAGUUGUUGCAGUUAAAAAGCUCGUAGUUGAAUUUCGGGAUCAAUUUAUCGGUCGUGCCAAUGGUAUGAACUGGUACAAUUGGUCUCUCCCUUCUGAAGAACCAUGAUGUCAUUAAUUUGGUGUUGUGGGGAAUCAGGACUGUUACUUUGAAAAAAUUAGAGUGUUUAAAGCAGGCUUAGGCUUGAAUACAUUAGCAUGGAAUAAUGAAAUAGGACGCUUUGAUCCUAUUUCGUUGGUUUCUAGGAUCGACGUAAUGAUUAAUAGGGAUAGUUGGGGGCAUUAGUAUUCAAUUGUCAGAGGUGAAAUUCUUGGAUUUAUUGAAGACUAACUACUGCGAAAGCAUUUGCCAAGGAUGUUUUCAUUAAUCAAGAACGAAAGUUAGGGGAUCGAAGACGAUCAGAUACCGUCGUAGUCUUAACCAUAAACUAUGCCGACUAGGGAUCGGAUGAUGUUAAUUUUUAAAUGACUCAUUCGGCGCCUUACGGGAAAC
Molecule: ribosomal RNA, 550 nt
Filed under: uncultured Glomeromycotina
Lineage: Eukaryota; Fungi; Glomeromycota
Description: SSU rRNA
Rfam family: Eukaryotic small subunit ribosomal RNA
Source: RNAcentral